Long non-coding RNA from Aptenodytes forsteri (emperor penguin), 793 nucleotides. RefSeq lists it as uncharacterized. Lineage: Eukaryota; Metazoa; Chordata; Aves; Sphenisciformes; Spheniscidae. The record is from RefSeq and is a predicted model, not a curated record. The transcript has 4 exons.
CCCCGGCCCCGCGGCAUGGGCUGCCCCGGCUUGCAGGGACGCCGUGACUCUGCCUGGGAUUUAAGGUGCGCUUCCCGUCAAGCGAUGUACCCUCGAUCUCCUCGGCGUUACCUAGCCCCUCAGUUCAGUGCAGUGAUACCAACGGUAAUCCCAGUUCGGAAAGGAUGGUGAACAUUGUCAUGGCUUGACGGGAAAGAAAAGGUUCUUCAGAGGGAAAAAUCCUGGACAUUGAAGAACUGAUGAUCCGUAUCUGUUGGUGUCUGGUUGUCCUGCCCCACGACCAUCCCUGAUGCAAUUCAAGAAGCAAUGCAGACAACACGACGAGGAUGCUUCAGGAGCAUCUGCUCACAGCACUGGGUGGGACACGUCAGAGCUGACCCCCAGACCAGGGUGAAACUCCCAGUAACUCCUGAAAAAGAACACCAGCAACCACACAUGCUUCUCCCAGUCAGCCACUGGGCAGAAUGGCUGCAGCUCCUUCCCCUGGUCUGGAACAGGUCUAUUUCACUUGUCCUUUAAUAAUACAACUGCUAUAGCUGUGACAAAACAGGACCCUUCUGAGCAUGAAUAAACACAGAAGAAAAGAAGGAACCUUUUCUCAGGAAAAGAAAGCUCAGUGACUCUACAGAGUCAUGGAAAGGCUCUAGUAAAUGUUUAAGGUUUAUUGUUGUAAGCUUUAUGUUUGUCUUUUUUUUUUUUCCUUAAAGAUGAAUAGAGUUUGGUAGUGAGAAGAGGAAGUGCAUUUAAGUGUACACAGCAGAGGAAAUUAAAGUCUUCAGAGCUUUCUGUGAAG